GAUGAACUCUUAAGCUACAUGAAGUUUGGAGGUGUGUAGUGAUGAACUCUUAAGCUACAUGAAGUUUGGAGGUGUGUAGUGAUGAACUCUGAAGCUACAUGAAGUUUGGAGGUGUGUAGUGAUGAACUCUUAAGCUACAUGAAGUUUGGAGGUGUGUAGUGAUGAACUCUGAAGCUACAUGAAGUUUGGAGGUGUGUAGUGAUGAACUCUUAAGCUACAUGAAGUUUGGAGGUGUGUAGUGAUGAACUCUGAAGCUACAUGAAGUUUGGAGGUGUGUAGUGAUGUCGUUCCCAGUCUCUUCCACUGUGUUAUAAUAUCACUGACAGUUGGCUGUGGAAUAUUUAGUAGUGAGUGGUGAAAUUUUCACGACUGGACUUGUUGUACAGGUGCUGCAUUCUAUCACAGUACCACAGUGCUGGAGUUCACUGAGCUCCUAAAAGCGAACUGUUCUUAUACUAAUGUUUGUAGGAGCAGUCUGCAUGACUAGGUGCUUGGCUUUUUGAACCUGUGGCCAAAGAAGUGAUCGGAACAUAAGAGAGGUCAAUGACUUGGAUGAGUGAAUGAAUACUUUUGGCAUUAUACAGUCAUGUGAAAAAGUUUGGGCACCCCUAUUAGUCAUAACUAAUCAUUUUUAGUUCUAAAUAUUUGGGUGU
Molecule: long non-coding RNA, 653 nt
Organism: Astyanax mexicanus (Mexican tetra)
Lineage: Eukaryota; Metazoa; Chordata; Actinopteri; Characiformes; Acestrorhamphidae
Exons: 3
Source: RefSeq, a predicted model, not a curated record